CGGAGGGUGCAAGCGUUAUCCGGAUUUACUGGGUUUAAAGGGUGCGUAGGCGGACUUUUAAGUCGGUGGUGAAAGCUCCGAGCUUAACUCGGAAACUGCCAUUGAUACUAUUAGUCUUGAAUUCGGUUGAGGUUGGCGGAAUGUGUCGUGUAGCGGUGAAAUGCUUAGAUAUGACACAGAACACCGAUUGCGAAGGCAGCUAGCUAAACCGACAUUGACGCUGAGGCACGAAAGCGUGGGGAUCAAACAGGAUUAGAAACCCUGGUAGUCCACGCCCUAAACUAUGAUUACUCGAUGUUGGCGAUACACUGCCAGCGUCUAAGCGAAAGCAUUAAGUAAUCCACCUGGGGAGUACGAUCGCAAGAUUG
This 368-nucleotide ribosomal RNA is filed under the name uncultured organism. Its description in RNAcentral is "bacterial SSU rRNA". It matches the Rfam family "Bacterial small subunit ribosomal RNA", at positions 526 to 896 of the family's 1533-position model. The record is from RNAcentral.